This is a long non-coding RNA of Gopherus flavomarginatus (Mexican gopher tortoise), 4036 nucleotides long. RefSeq lists it as uncharacterized. The transcript is spliced from 3 exons. The record is from RefSeq and is a predicted model, not a curated record. Lineage: Eukaryota; Metazoa; Chordata; Testudines; Testudinidae.
AUAUAGGGUUAAGAGUAGAUCAUAAAUUCUACAUUAGAUGUAUUUAAUUUCAAAUCUGUCUCUAAAGAAAGUUAAGGUGGUGAAACACUCUGACAGGAGCCAGUGGGGCAGCAUCUGCUCUCAGCUACUCUAAUGUAAAUGCAGAGUCACUCUACUGAUUUGAGUGUAUAAGGGGGAGCAACAGCAUUUCUGUAUGUAAUAAUAUAACAAUGUUACAAUGAUAUAACAGAAAGCAGAAUCAGGCCCCUACCAUUCAAAGUUAAAGCUAACCCACACUUAAGAAGAUUCUAUAAUGGUCCAGCUGAGUGAGGAUCAGUGUCAAUCUUCAUGUUGAAUGGCUUACCUUUCAUCAGUCAGUGACACUUUACACGGUAAUUUACACAAGAUAAUAAAAUGGCUUCCUCAUACCCACCCUAGUUGCGCCACUGAGUAUCUUAUGUAUGCCCAUUUUAUUUCUAAAAACCAUAGUGCAUACCUAUUUACGUGGGCUCAUAAGAAAAUGUAUUAUGUAAUCAUAAAUACAUAUCCAAUAUUUAUUUAUCAAGUGUCUGACUAAGAGAGGAAGGAUGACAUAGUGGCUAAUGUGGUAGCCUAGGACACCAGAGACUCAGUUUCACUUCCCUGUUCUAACACAGACUUCCUAUGAGAUGUCGGGCGAGUUGUCAUAAGCUUCUGUUCCCUUGCAGUAAAACAGAGAUGAUCCCUCCCUCCGAGGAAUGUUGUGGGGGUAAAUAUGUGAGGCACGCUGAUGUAAUGGAAGCUGUAUAUGUACCUCAGAUAAAAAAUAGUUUGGGGCAAUUGCGAGAGCUCACUCACUGCAGUGUUUUCACUCAAACCUUCAUUCCAGGAUGCAAUUUUUUUUUCACCAUUAUGCACUCUUGCCCAACAUACACACCAGAUGCAAUCUCCUUUGCAAUUGAGCAAACAAGCCAUCUUCUUCAUUUAAAAACACUGCAUUUAUAUGACUUGCUCAUUUCCACUUCCCUUUUGAACGACAAUCCAUGCAUUGAUAGGCACACACAAAGACCUCCUUCAUAAUGGAUUUCCUUAUUAUAUAUUAUUGCAUUACUGUCUCAAAAUAUGUUGUACAAUGACAUAAUUAUAAAUAUUCAUGUUCAAAUGACAGAACAGAAGAAAGUAUUUUUCAGGCAAAACUCCCAAGCAAGGACUACAGAAUUUGGCUCAUAGUUUAACAAAAAUUAAAAACACUUCCUAUAUGAAGGGCUGUUUACUUCAUAAAAUUGUUAAAACAGGUAAAUUUUCAGAAACAGAAAUUUUCAGCAGAGGCAGUUCUGCUGUGUCUUCUUCUCGCUGCCUCAUACUAGAUCAAUAGGUAGGCUCAUGUGAGUAAGACAAGUAUGAUUUAGACCUGUGUUACUCUAUAAUAUGUAAGGUAUCAAAGCCUGCUAUAGGAGUGUUUACAACGUCAUAGGCAAAGAAUGUGUUUAACCCAAUAGUAUUAAUGGGAAAAACAAGGGAGUAAUGUUACAAAUACUUUUAAGAUGGAACUAUAAAAGAAUAAUUGUAAAGUCAAUGGAUUGUUUCCAUUUUACUACUGUGUGAAGGCUGAACUUUAAAUGUAUAUGUUACACCUUUUUCUAAAAGGAGACAGUAACCUGACAUAUAUAUUUAUGAGUGACACGAAACCACAGCACUGUGUUAUGUACACAGCAGUUAGAAUGAUUAGCCAGCGUGACAAUGAGGACAAACCUACCCAAUAGACUUUGUCUGUUAAGUUUCUAUAGGGAUAUCGAGAACUUAUGCCUUUUCUUUUCUAUAUGUAUAUAUUUACAUACAGGCAAUGCAAAUGUAAAGCUCUAAAGAAAGCAGAAAGAUAAGCCAACGCAUUGUGCAAAGGCUUAGUGCUGGACUGAAAUACCUUGUCUACUGAGUUAUUGUGCCCAUCUCUCUCUUUUUAAUACAGCAAAGUCAUACCAAUAUACCCUGACAUGAAUUAAAUGCAACAACAGCUCCUGUCAGGUCAAAGCUGAUCCACUGCUGGCUUCCCUUCUGCUGAAAACAACAAACCAACUUCUCACAAGUCUUGCUGAUGCUGCUGUUUUGUAUGUCAGAAGACAGUCUGCAGAAUUUUGAAGUAUACAGUUUCUAAACCUAAGUAUGUGUGACAGGUUCUCAACUAUACCUCUACCCCAAUAUAACGUGACCCAAUAUAACACGAAUUUGGAUAUAAUGUGGUAAAGCAGUGCUCCGGGAGGGCGGGGCUGCGUGCUCCAGCGGAUCAAAGCAAGUUUAAUAUAACGCGGUUUCACCUAUAACGCGGUAAGAUUUUUUGGCUCUUGAGGACAGCGUUAUAUCAGAGUAGAGGUGUAUUCUUGUCUUCUACAGAUCAUAAAUUAGCUGUGAAGAUAUAGUUCUAUUUUCCAACAGGAAAGGCAAUUUCAUGAAAAAAGUCUAAAGCAUGGAUGAAAAGAUUCUAUAUUUAGAAUUACACUGAGGACUUACUAUGACCUUCAGAGAACAGAAACUAAAAAGCUCAAUUUUUACAUAAAAAAGAGCUGUUCAGUAAAAACUGAAAUAAAAAAAGGGUUUAGAACACCUGCUUUCCAUGCAUUUGCCUUUUUUAAACAAAAUCUUUUAAAAGUUAAGCUUGAUUGAAAUAUGCAUCAAUGUGACACAUUAAAUCUGGUUAACAAAGUAGUAGUAAUUACUAACUUCACAAACAUAAGAAGCUUGGCCAUGCUUCUGCAAAUGAGCUACCAUAUUUUAGCUAUAGGCAGCAAUUUCUGUACAGUUCUUGGGGCUAGGAGGGCAAAUCGAAACUUUUAUCCACCUCUACACAAACACCAUAUUCACCUCACUAAUACAUGUUGUUACACAAGAAGCAACCAUCAACAUGACCAAACAGUGCUUUGGUCCAGAUAGCUUGACUCUAUCCCAUUUUUAUGCCUUUCAUUAGAUUUCUGAGGGUUCUGUUUACAUAUUACUCAAAUCCUCUCUACAGUUUCAGUUUGGAAGAUUCACUGAGCUUUCCCCGAUCUGGCUUCCAUGGAAAUGAAUCCUAAUUUAUAAGGCAAAAGCUAUUCAGACAUGCCUCUUGGGACUCAGAUUUAGGCGUUGUACCUCCCUCACUGCCCCCAAAAUCCUUUACUGCAAUAGAACCAUUAUUGAUGUGUCUUUCACAAGCUUCUUGAAAAUCUUCCAGUGCAUCUUCUUCAAUGAGUGUGUCCUACAAGAUCACCUGGACACAGAGAGCCUGUUAGAUUUCUGAACGUUCAGGGGUAGGAUCUGUCUCCUAUUAGUCAUAUAUAUGGUGCCUACCACAAAAUGGACCUGUCUGAGGCCUCAGGGUGCUUUUGUAAUACAAAUACUAUUAAUACAUUAUAUGUUGACACUCAAAAUGGGUUUGGAAUGUGCUCUGGCAGUAAGCCUGGCUGCCUCUAGCCACAAAUAGCUACACAUCAUGUCAUUCUUUGCUCUACUUUUCAGGUAACCUUUUUUCUCAAUGCAUGAAAUUGUGCAUAAACAAAUGUUGCAUAUUGUGACUGCCCAACUAAUCCUAUUGUUGCCCAAUUACAGAGUCCUAGGGAAAAGGUCUAGCUAGUUGUGAAGAUGCAGAUGAAGAUGAAUGUAAAAAUGAGCUUUGGAUAGGUAAAAGUACUUCCUGGUAGAAUCAAAGAAAGAGGACCAUGACGUCUUGACCAAGACACUGUUCUGCUCUCUUGAAAUAAUGAUACCAUGGAGUCUGAACAUGCAUUCUCUUUAGGAUUUCCACUUUCUGCUUAGCUAAUAUAAAUUGUACAAAUGCACUGUGUUUUGCUCUGUACAGUAAAUCUUCCAGAUAAAAGUCAUGGUAGAAUUUUUGUUCUGCUGCCUACAUCAAGUUCAGCAAUAAUUAUAAUAAUUAAUAAAACCAACACCAUCAACAAAACACUCAUUAACCAAACUAAUUAACUGUGUCCAUUUUGAAUUAUAGUGCAAAGGCGAGAGAACACGGCUUCUUUAUUUGCUCCCCUUUGUGCGUCUGAAACAAGAGGCCAAAUCCAGUUGUAAUCUAACUCUGAAAAGAGUAAUGGAA